CAGAUUUUCCUCAGCAUCCAUAAGAGCUAGGAACUUACUAUUUUUGAAAAUGAAAGCAGGGAUUCUUAUUUAAUCAACUGACUUUUUUGGUGAUUCUUAUGCUGGGAAUGAGAGAAAGGAAUAAUCUAAAAAACCGCAACAGAGAUUGGGGCACCAUUGUGCUAGAUGUUGUACAUCUAUCUAAUAAAAGGUGCUCGCAGCUCCAGAGAGCUUCCAAUCUAAGCAGAGAAAAGAUGGGAGAAUGGAAGAAGUAGUACCCUUACUUUACUCAUGGAGAGCUGAGCCUCUGAAGAAAUCCCCUUCUUGUGUCCAAUACAGUAGCCCAAAGAGGUUCAGCUAGUUUGGAUGAAUAUCCUUCUUUCAAGUACUUACACAAAUGACAUAUUUGGACCCACAAACACCUGCUUGUUCUCUGUCAAUGCACUUCAUUUCUGACCUCCAAUAUCCCUUCUAGUUUGCACCUGAACAAAGAGGAUGGCUUUUAUCUAUGCAGAGCCAGCCCUAAUACCCUGUUUUUAAUAAAAGCAUCUUCA
Long non-coding RNA from Mauremys reevesii (Reeves's turtle), 533 nucleotides. RefSeq lists it as uncharacterized. NCBI's taxonomy places the organism in Eukaryota, Metazoa, Chordata, Testudines, Geoemydidae. The transcript is spliced from 4 exons. The record is from RefSeq and is a predicted model, not a curated record.